CCCUCUUCCUGGUUUUCUGCAACUUCACUUCCCUCACUGAGAGAAGUGAAGCUGCAGGGAACCAGGAAAAGGG
Podarcis lilfordi (Lilford's wall lizard) is the source of this 73-nucleotide non-coding RNA. The record is from the annotation of a GenBank genome assembly. Lineage: Eukaryota; Metazoa; Chordata; Lepidosauria; Squamata; Lacertidae.